Molecule: ribosomal RNA, 499 nt
Filed under: Wenyingzhuangia sp. 1_MG-2023
Lineage: Bacteria; Pseudomonadati; Bacteroidota; Flavobacteriia; Flavobacteriales; Flavobacteriaceae
Description: partial 23S ribosomal RNA
Rfam family: Bacterial large subunit ribosomal RNA
Source: RNAcentral
GACCGAUAGUGAACUAGUACCGUGAGGGAAAGGCGAAAAGAACCCCUGUUAGGGGAGUGAAAUAGACCCUGAAACCGCGUACGUACAAGCAGUGGGAGCCGACUUGUUCGGUGACUGCGUACCUUUUGUAUAAUGGGUCAGCGACUUAAUGUUAGUGGCAAGGUUAAGUGUUAACGGAGCCGUAGCGAAAGCGAGUCUUAACUGGGCGUCCAGUCGCUAGCAUUAGACCCGAAACCGGGCGAUCUAUCCAUGAGCAGGUUGAAGGUGCCGUAACAGGCACUGGAGGACCGAACCCACUCCCGUUGAAAAGGUAGGGGAUGACUUGUGGAUCGGAGUGAAAGGCUAAUCAAGCUCGGAGAUAGCUGGUUCUCCUCGAAAACUAUUUAGGUAGUGCCUCAUGUAUAACCACCGGGGGUAGAGCACUGUUAAGGCUAGGGGGUCAUCCCGACUUACCAACCCUUUGCAAACUCCGAAUACCGGUGAGUUCAAUCAUGGGAGA